This 440-nucleotide ribosomal RNA is filed under the name uncultured bacterium. Its description in RNAcentral is "partial 16S ribosomal RNA". It matches the Rfam family "Bacterial small subunit ribosomal RNA", at positions 338 to 795 of the family's 1533-position model. The record is from RNAcentral.
CCUACGUGAGGCAGCAGUGGGGGAUAUUGCACAAUGGGGGGAACCCUGAUGCAGCGACGCCGCGUGGGUGAAGACGCGCCUCGGCGCGUAAAGCCCUGUCAGCAGGGAAGAAAAUGACGGUACCUGAAGAAGAAGCCCCGGCUAACUACGUGCCAGCAGCCGCGGGAAUACGUAGGGGGCAAGCGUUAUCCGGAUUUAUGGGGUGUAAAGGGGGCGCAGACGGGGAUGCAAGCCAGGAGUGAAAGCCCCGGGCCCAACCCCGGGACUGCGCUUGAAACUGCGUGGCUGGAGUGCAGGAGGGGCAGGCGGAAUUCGUGGUGUAGCGGUGAAAUGCUUAGAUAUCACGAAGAACUCCGAUUGCGAAGGCAGCUCACUGGACUGCAACUGACACUGAGGCUCGAAAGUGUGGGUAUCAAACAGGAUUAGAUACCCGAGUAGUC